This 29-nucleotide ribosomal RNA is filed under the name Glycine tomentella. RNAcentral describes it as "partial 26S ribosomal RNA". Lineage: Eukaryota; Viridiplantae; Streptophyta; Magnoliopsida; Fabales; Fabaceae. The record is from RNAcentral.
CGAGACCUCAGGUCAGGCGGGGCUACCCG